CCUACGGGAGGCAGCAGUGAGGAAUAUUGCACAAUGGGCGAAAGCCUGACGCAGCAACGCCGCGUGCAGGAUGACGGCCCUCUGGGUUGUAAACUGCUGUAGUGGGGGAAUAAUAUCCGCUUUUAGCGGACUGAAGGUACCCCAAAAGUAAGCUCCGGCUAACUACGUGCCAGCAGCCGCGGUAAUA
Molecule: ribosomal RNA, 187 nt
Filed under: uncultured bacterium
Lineage: Bacteria
Description: partial 16S ribosomal RNA
Rfam family: Bacterial small subunit ribosomal RNA
Source: RNAcentral